GAUGAACGCUGGCGGCGUGCCUAACACAUGCAAGUCGAGCGAUUCUCUUCGGAGAAGAGCGGCGGACGGGUGAGUAACGCGUGGGUAACCUGCCCUGUACACACGGAUAACAUACCGAAAGGUAUGCUAAUACGGGAUAACAUAAGAGAGUCGCAUGGCUUUCUUAUCAAAGCUCCGGCGGUACAGGAUGGACCCGCGUCUGAUUAGCUAGUUGGUGAGGUAAUGGCUCACCAAGGCGACGAUCAGUAGCCGACCUGAGAGGGUGAUCGGCCACAUUGGAACUGAGACACGGUCCAAACUCCUACGGGAGGCAGCAGUGGGGAAUAUUGCACAAUGGGCGAAAGCCUGAUGCAGCAACGCCGCGUGAGCGAUGAAGGCCUUCGGGUCGUAAAGCUCUGUCCUCAAGGAAGAUAAUGACGGUACUUGAGGAGGAAGCCCCGGCUAACUACGUGCCAGCAGCCGCGGUAAUACGUAGGGGGCUAGCGUUAUCCGGAAUUACUGGGCGUAAAGGGUGCGUAGGUGGUUUCUUAAGUCAGAGGUGAAAGGCUACGGCUCAACCGUAGUAAGCCUUUGAAACUGAGAAACUUGAGUGCAGGAGAGGAGAGUAGAAUUCCUAGUGUAGCGGUGAAAUGCGUAGAUAUUAGGAGGAAUACCAGUUGCGAAGGCGGCUCUCUGGACUGUAACUGACACUGAGGCACGAAAGCGUGGGGAGCAAACAGGAUUAGAUACCCUGGUAGUCCACGCCGUAAACGAUGAGUACUAGCUGUCGGAGGUUACCCCCUUCGGUGGCGCAGCUAACGCAUUAAGUACUCCGCCUGGGAAGUACGCUCGCAAGAGUGAAACUCAAAGGAAUUGACGGGGACCCGCACAAGUAGCGGAGCAUGUGGUUUAAUUCGAAGCAACGCGAAGAACCUUACCUAAGCUUGACAUCCUUUUGACCUCUCCCUAAUCGGAGAUUUCCCUUCGGGGACAGAAGUGACAGGUGGUGCAUGGUUGUCGUCAGCUCGUGUCGUGAGAUGUUGGGUUAAGUCCCGCAACGAGCGCAACCCUUGCCUUUAGUUGCCAGCAUUAAGUUGGGCACUCUAGAGGGACUGCCAGGGAUAACCUGGAGGAAGGUGGGGAUGACGUCAAAUCAUCAUGCCCCUUAUGCUUAGGGCUACACACGUGCUACAAUGGGUGGUACAGAGGGUUGCCAAACCGUGAGGUGGAGCUAAUCCCUUAAAGCCAUUCUCAGUUCGGAUUGUAGGCUGAAACUCGCCUACAUGAAGCUGGAGUUACUAGUAAUCGCAGAUCAGAAUGCUGCGGUGAAUGCGUUCCCGGGUCUUGUACACACCGCCCGUCACACCACGGGAGUUGGGGGCGCCCGAAGCCAGAUAGCUAACCUUUUGGAAGCGUCUGUCGAAGGUGAAAUCAAUAACUGGGGUGAAGUCGUAACAAGGUAGCCGUAUCGGAAGGUGCGGCUGGAUCACCUCCUUUCUAAGGAGAAUUACCUACUGUUUAAUUUUGAGGGUUCAUUGUAAAAUGAAUACUCAACAGAGUAUAGUACUUUGAAAACUGCAUAACAUUUAGUGAUAUGACAUCAUUUUAUAUAUAGACAAUAUAAGUCUUUAAAAUAUAAUUGAGAAGAUAAUCUCUUUAAAAAAUCAAACUUUAAUAACUUGGUCAAGUUAUUAAGGGUGCAGGGCGGAUGCCUUGGCACUAGGAGCCGAUGAAGGACGUGAUAAGCUGCGAUAAGCUUCGGGGAGUUGCACGUAAACUUUGAUCCGAAGAUUUCCGAAUGAGGAAACUCACUUAGAGUAAUGUCUAAGUAUCGUUAAGUGAAUACAUAGCUUAGCGAGGGGAACCCGGGGAACUGAAACAUCUAAGUACCCGGAGGAAAAGAAAGAAAUUCGAUUCCGUAAGUAGCGGCGAGCGAACGCGGAACAGGCCAAACCAAUGAAGUUUUCUUUGUUGGGGUUGCGGACAUGUCAUUGACGAAGAGGUCAUUGUAGAUGAAGAGAGUUGGAAAGCUCCGCCAAAGAAGGUAAUAGCCCUGUAGUUGAAACAAUAAUUCUUUAGACAUGAUCCAGAGUACCACGGGACACGUGAAACCCUGUGGGAAGCAGGAGGGACCAUCCUCCAAGCCUAAAUACUACCUAGUGACCGAUAGCGCAU
RNAcentral lists this ribosomal RNA (2154 nucleotides) under uncultured Intestinibacter sp. RNAcentral describes it as "partial contains 16S ribosomal RNA, 16S-23S ribosomal RNA intergenic spacer, and 23S ribosomal RNA". The stretch from base 1 to 1476 matches the Rfam family "Bacterial small subunit ribosomal RNA". Lineage: Bacteria; Bacillati; Bacillota; Clostridia; Peptostreptococcales; Peptostreptococcaceae. The record is from RNAcentral.